AUUUUAUGCGUGUGAAAAUUAUAAUAUCAGAAAAACAAUAACAAAGAAAUACAUGGAUUUUAUUUUGUUAACAUGCAUAGAUCUGAUAAAAAUCGAGCGGUAUCUUUUUCCUUUGUUCUUGCAACAAAUAUUGGUAUUCAUAUAACAAAUCGGCUGCAAACGAAAAAAAUAAUAAUAAUCAUAAAUAAAUUUAAUAUGACUUUUAUUAUAGAUAAUCUGUUGUAUUAUUUAACCCUUUUAUUCUCUUUCCUGCAAUUUUCUUCAGAUUUAUUUUUUUUCCUCACUAGGGCCUAAUGAUACCUCAUAUUUCAUUAAAGUCUAUACGCUACUGAGGACUUCGACGGAUAGCUUACUGCGCAUGCACUGUGACUACCCAACACUGAUCUGCGCGCUACUUAAAAGUAGUUUAAGCCAUGCUAUCGGACCGACGAGCUAGUCUUUACAGCAUUGAAGUGGAGGAAGGAUCUCUGCGUUCCAUUUAAUCAACUUCCAAAAUUGAAUAUACACACAAUCUGCCUCGAUCUUCGACAAAGAAUUAAGCCAAUAAAGAGUUACAUAAAU
Megachile rotundata (alfalfa leafcutting bee) is the source of this 561-nucleotide long non-coding RNA. The record is from RefSeq and is a predicted model, not a curated record. Lineage: Eukaryota; Metazoa; Arthropoda; Insecta; Hymenoptera; Megachilidae.